GGGGCUGUUGCUCAGUGGUAGAGCACUUGUCUACCAUGCAUGAGGCACUGGGUUUCAUCUUCAGCACCA
RNAcentral lists this transfer RNA (69 nucleotides) under Ictidomys tridecemlineatus (thirteen-lined ground squirrel). RNAcentral's name for it is "Spermophilus tridecemlineatus (thirteen-lined ground squirrel) tRNA". It matches the Rfam family "tRNA". From Rfam's summary of the family: Transfer RNA (tRNA) molecules are approximately 80 nucleotides in length. The record is from Rfam by way of RNAcentral. Lineage: Eukaryota; Metazoa; Chordata; Mammalia; Rodentia; Sciuridae.